GAUGAACGCUAGCUACAGGCUUAACACAUGCAAGUCGCAGGGUAACAUGAGGAAAGCUUGCUUUCCUUGAUGACGACUGGCGCACGGGUGAGUAACGCGUAUCCAACCUUCCCAUAACUACGGGAUAACCCGUUGAAAGACGGCCUAAUACCGUAUGAUAUCGUUUGCUGACAUCAAAUAACGAUUAAAGGUUUAGCGGUUAUGGAUGGGGAUGCGUCUGAUUAGCUUGUUGGCGGGGUAACGGCCCACCAAGGCGACGAUCAGUAGGGGUUCUGAGAGGAAGGUCCCCCACAUUGGAACUGAGACACGGUCCAAACUCCUACGGGAGGCAGCAGUGAGGAAUAUUGGUCAAUGAGCGAGAGCCUGAACCAGCCAAGUAGCGUGCAGGACGACGGCCCUAUGGGUUGUAAACUGCUUUUAUGUGGGGAUAAAGUGCGUGACGUGUCAUGCAUUGCAGGUACCACAUGAAUAAGGACCGGCUAAUUCCGU
RNAcentral lists this ribosomal RNA (489 nucleotides) under uncultured bacterium. Its description in RNAcentral is "partial 16S ribosomal RNA". It matches the Rfam family "Bacterial small subunit ribosomal RNA", at positions 28 to 506 of the family's 1533-position model. The record is from RNAcentral.